CGGGUAGGACAGGUGGUGCAUGGUUUGUCGUCAGCUCGUGUCGUGAGAUGUUGGUUAAGUCCCGCAACGAGCGCAACCCUUAUUGCUAGUUACCAUCAUUGAGUUGGGGACUCUAGCGAGACUGCCAGUGAUAAACUGGAGGAAGGUGGGGAUGACGUCAAAUCAUCAUGCCCCUUAUGACCUGGGCUACAAACGUGAUACAAUGGCUGAAACAGAGGGAGGCGAAGGGGUGACCUGGAGCGAAACCCAGAAAAACAGUCUCAGUUCGGAUUGAAGUCUGCAACUCGACUUCAUGAAGUCGGAAUCGCUAGUAAUCGCGGAUCAGAACGCCGCGGUGAAUACGUUCUCGGGGUUU
Molecule: ribosomal RNA, 355 nt
Filed under: uncultured Acholeplasma sp.
Lineage: Bacteria; Bacillati; Mycoplasmatota; Mollicutes; Acholeplasmatales; Acholeplasmataceae
Description: bacterial SSU rRNA
Rfam family: Bacterial small subunit ribosomal RNA
Source: RNAcentral